UGGGGAAUAUUGCACAAUGGGCGCAAGCCUGAUGCAGCAACGCCGCGUGAACGAUGAAGGUCUUCGGAUCGUAAAGUUCUGUUGCAGGGGAAGAUAAUGACGGUACCCUGUGAGGAAGCCCCGGCUAACUACGUGCCAGCAGCCGCGGUAAUACGUAGGGGGCUAGCGUUAUCCGGAUUUACUGGGCGUAAAGGGUGCGUAGGUGGUCUUUCAAGUCGGUGGUUAAAGGCUACGGCUCAACCGUAGUUAGCCUCCGAAACUGGAAGACUUGAGUGCAGGAGAGGAAAGUGGAAUUCCCAGUGUAGCGGUGAAAUGCGUAGAUAUUAGGAGGAAUACCGGUGGCGAAGGCGGCUUUCUGGACUGCAACUGACACUGAGGCACGAAAGCGUGGGUAGCAAACAGG
Molecule: ribosomal RNA, 403 nt
Filed under: Verrucomicrobiota bacterium
Lineage: Bacteria; Pseudomonadati; Verrucomicrobiota
Description: Verrucomicrobia bacterium partial 16S ribosomal RNA
Rfam family: Bacterial small subunit ribosomal RNA
Source: RNAcentral